Long non-coding RNA from Brassica napus (rape), 920 nucleotides. RefSeq lists it as uncharacterized. The transcript is spliced from 2 exons. NCBI's taxonomy places the organism in Eukaryota, Viridiplantae, Streptophyta, Magnoliopsida, Brassicales, Brassicaceae. The record is from RefSeq and is a predicted model, not a curated record.
UGUUCAAAAAAAUAGAUAGAUCGUGUUUUAUUAUUUUUUCAAACAACUUAAAAACACUACCGCUAGUAGAAAAAACAGCUAUAGUCACAUUUCUUACGUGAACAAAGGGUAAAUUUUGUGGCUAUAUAAAACUAGCUAACGUUUGUAACUAAAAACAUUAUGACUAAUCGUAACUGUUAAAUACCAAUUAGUCACCAAAUACUCGUGACCAAUUAGUCACGAUUUAAUCGCUUUAGUUGUAUCUUAUUUAAUCACAAAAUAAAUCGUAGCUAAUACGUGACUACUUACGUGGAGUCAUACCACUUAGGGAAAGCAUCCAGUCAGGUAAUCUAUAAGUUAUCACCAUCAGAUUCGACUCUUGUACACAAUACCGGCGUCUAACAAUGGCCUCUAAAGUUUCGAACCUCUCGCCAUCCUUCAUGAUUACCGCAAAUCCGCAAUCCGUCACAUCAGUUAUGAAAUGACAACCAGUCUUCUGACAUUUAUCAAAAAUCAAAUCAAAUCUCAGACUUGGAAAUCGUGGAUCGUAAUUCACAAAAUCAGAUCAGUAAAGUCGAGAAAGAUGAUGAAACACAGGAAGAUAGGAAUCACGAUGGAUUUCUCACAGAGCAGCAAGAACGCAUUGAAAUGGACGAUGGAUAACUUAGAGGAUAAAGGAGACACACUACCAAUCUAAUCUUGCCACAGCCUCUGGUUCAAUUCCGAUUCUCUUCAGUUCCUUCUUCUAUUUUUAUUCUUCUGGUUUUUUUGGUUCCGUGAUUGAUCUAUCGGUUUAAUCCGGUAUGUUUAGUGCGCCGGGCAUCAUUACUCAUUACUCGUAUUAAAUUCGCUAUUUGAUUUGUACCCGCGUUAAAAAUUCAAGUACUCUGUGUUGUCAAAGUAAGUAACAAGUCAACAAUUUUUAUUACUUGCAAGAUCAA